RNAcentral lists this ribosomal RNA (465 nucleotides) under uncultured bacterium. Its description in RNAcentral is "partial 16S ribosomal RNA". It matches the Rfam family "Bacterial small subunit ribosomal RNA", at positions 38 to 507 of the family's 1533-position model. The record is from RNAcentral.
GAAGAAAGAGGGAGGAGGGAGGAAAAAAAGCAAGUCGAACGGAAAGGCCCUGCUUGCAGGGUACUCGAGUGGCGAACGGGUGAGUAACACGUGGGUGAUCUGCCCUGCACUUCGGGAUAAGCCUGGGAAACUGGGUCUAAUACCGGAUAGGAGCCAUUUUUAGUGUGAUGGUUGGAAAGUUUUUUCGGUGUAGGAUGAGCUCGCGGCCUAUCAGCUUGUUGGUGGGGUAAUGGCCUACCAAGGCGGCGACGGGGAGCCGGCCUGAGAGGGUGGACGGCCACAUUGGGACUGAGAUACGGCCCAGACUCCUACGGGAGGCAGCGGUGGGGAAUAUUGCACAAUGGGCGCAAGCCUGAUGCAGCGACGCCGCGUGGGGGAUGCCGGCCUUCGGGUUGUAAACUCCUUUCGCUAGGGACGAAGCUUUUUGUGACGGUACCUAGAUAAGAAGCACCGGCUCCCUACGUG